This 429-nucleotide ribosomal RNA is filed under the name Staphylococcus aureus. RNAcentral describes it as "partial 23S ribosomal RNA". It matches the Rfam family "Bacterial large subunit ribosomal RNA", at positions 2282 to 2710 of the family's 2925-position model. The record is from RNAcentral. Lineage: Bacteria; Bacillati; Bacillota; Bacilli; Caryophanales; Staphylococcaceae.
GUCGCCUCCUAAAAGGUAACGGAGGCGCUCAAAGGUUCCCUCAGAAUGGUUGGAAAUCAUUCAUAGAGUGUAAAGGCAUAAGGGAGCUUGACUGCGAGACCUACAAGUCGAGCAGGGUCGAAAGACGGACUUAGUGAUCCGGUGGUUCCGCAUGGAAGGGCCAUCGCUCAACGGAUAAAAGCUACCCCGGGGAUAACAGGCUUAUCUCCCCCAAGAGUUCACAUCGACGGGGAGGUUUGGCACCUCGAUGUCGGCUCAUCGCAUCCUGGGGCUGUAGUCGGUCCCAAGGGUUGGGCUGUUCGCCCAUUAAAGCGGUACGCGAGCUGGGUUCAGAACGUCGUGAGACAGUUCGGUCCCUAUCCGUCGUGGGCGUAGGAAAUUUGAGAGGAGCUGUCCUUAGUACGAGAGGACCGGGAUGGACAUACCUCU